This 253-nucleotide ribosomal RNA is filed under the name uncultured bacterium. RNAcentral's name for it is "partial 16S ribosomal RNA". It matches the Rfam family "Bacterial small subunit ribosomal RNA", at positions 524 to 776 of the family's 1533-position model. The record is from RNAcentral.
UACGAAGGGGGCUAGCGUUGCUCGGAAUCACUGGGCGUAAAGGGUGCGUAGGCGGGUUUUUAAGUCAGAGGUGAAAUCCUGGAGCUCAACUCCAGAACUGCCUUUGAUACUGAAAGUCUUGAGUAUGGGAGAGGUGAGUGGAACUGCGAGUGUAGAGGUGAAAUUCGUAGAUAUUCGGAGGAACACCAGUGGCGAAGGCGGCUUACUGGUCCAUUACUGACGCUGAGGUGCGAAAGCGUGGGGAGCAAACAGG